UACGGAGGGACCGAGCGUUGUCCGGAAUCAUUGGGCGUAAAGAGCGUGUAGGCGGCUUGCUAAGUCUUGCGUGAAAUCUCGGGGCUCAACCCCGAGCGGUCGUGGGAAACUGGCAGGCUAGAGUGCGGGAGAGGAGAAUGGAAUUCCUGGUGUAGCGGUGAAAUGCGCAGAUAUCAGGAAGAACACCCGUGGCGAAGGCGGUUCUCUGGAACGCAACUGACGCUGAGACGCGAAAGCGUGGGGAGCAAACAGG
This 253-nucleotide ribosomal RNA is filed under the name uncultured bacterium. RNAcentral describes it as "partial 16S ribosomal RNA". It matches the Rfam family "Bacterial small subunit ribosomal RNA", at positions 524 to 776 of the family's 1533-position model. The record is from RNAcentral.